UACGUAGGGGGCAAGCGUUGUCCGGAUUUAUUGGGCGUAAAGCGCUCGCAGGCGGUUCGUUGCGUCGUGCGUGAAAGACCCCGGCUCAACUGGGGAGGGUCGUGCGAUACGGGCGAGCUAUGAGUGCAGGAGAGGGAAGUGGAACUCCGGGAGUAGCGGUGAAAUGCGUAGAGACCCGGAGGAACACCAGUGGCGAAGGCGGCUUCCUGGUCUGCAACUGACGCUGUGGCGCGAAAGCUAGGGGAGCAAACGGG
Molecule: ribosomal RNA, 254 nt
Filed under: uncultured bacterium
Lineage: Bacteria
Description: partial 16S ribosomal RNA
Rfam family: Bacterial small subunit ribosomal RNA
Source: RNAcentral